GAGUAAAGUGGCGCACGGGUGAGUAACACGUAGAUAACCUACCCUUUAGUCUGGGAUAGCUUUCCGAAAGGAGGGGUAAUACCGGAUGAUACCAGAUGGCGAAUGUCAACUGGUUAAAAGAUUUAUCGCUAAGGGAUGGGUCUGCGGACCAUUAGCUAGUUGGUGGGGUAAGAGCCUACCAAGGCGACGAUGGUUAGCGGGUCUGAGAGGAUGAUCCGCCACACUGGAACUGAGACACGGUCCAGACUCC
Molecule: ribosomal RNA, 250 nt
Filed under: uncultured bacterium
Lineage: Bacteria
Description: partial 16S ribosomal RNA
Rfam family: Bacterial small subunit ribosomal RNA
Source: RNAcentral